This is a small nuclear RNA of Otolemur garnettii (small-eared galago), 108 nucleotides long. The record is from Ensembl. Lineage: Eukaryota; Metazoa; Chordata; Mammalia; Primates; Galagidae.
GUGCUUACUUUGGCAGCACAAAUACUAAAAUUGAAAGGAUACAGAGAAGAUUAACAUGGCCCCUCCCCCAAGGAUGACACGCAAAUUCAUGAGGCAUUGGGUAUUUUC